This 45-nucleotide non-coding RNA is filed under the name Schistosoma mansoni. Lineage: Eukaryota; Metazoa; Platyhelminthes; Trematoda; Strigeidida; Schistosomatidae. The record is from RNAcentral.
AUCCAGCUGACGAUUCCCAAACAGAACGAAACGUGCGUCCUAAAU